Molecule: transfer RNA, 72 nt
Filed under: Dreissena polymorpha
Lineage: Eukaryota; Metazoa; Mollusca; Bivalvia; Myida; Dreissenidae
Rfam family: tRNA
About the family: Transfer RNA (tRNA) molecules are approximately 80 nucleotides in length. Their secondary structure includes four short double-helical elements and three loops (D, anti-codon, and T loops).
Source: Rfam by way of RNAcentral
GGUUCGGUAGUGUAGUGGUUACACGCUCGCUUCACAUGUGAGAGGCCCAAGGUUCGAGCACUAGUAAAAUCA